Molecule: ribosomal RNA, 548 nt
Filed under: uncultured bacterium
Lineage: Bacteria
Description: bacterial SSU rRNA
Rfam family: Bacterial small subunit ribosomal RNA
Source: RNAcentral
GGAAUAUUGCGCAAUGGGCGAAAGCCUGACGCAGCAACGCCGCGUGAGGGAUGAAGGCCUUCGGGUUGUAAACCUCUUUCAGCAGGGAAGAAGGGAAACUGACGGUACCUGCAGAAGAAGCACCGGCUAACUACGUGCCAGCAGCCGCGGUAAUACGUAGGGUGCAAGCGUUGUCCGGAUUUAUUGGGCGUAAAGAGCUCGUAGGCGGUUAGUCACGUCGGAUGUGAAAACCCGGGGCUUAACUCCGGGCCUGCAUUCGAUACGGGCUGACUCGAGUGUUGCAGGGGAGACUGGAACUCCUGGUGUAGCGGUGAAAUGCGCAGAUAUCAGGAAGAACACCGGUGGCGAAGGCGGGUCUCUGGGCAACUACUGACGCUGAGGAGCGAAAGCGUGGGGAGCAAACAGGAUUAGAUACCCUGGUAGUCCACGCCGUAAACGGUGGGCGCUAGGUGUGGGGAACCUUCCACGUUCUCCGUGCCGCAGCUAACGCAUUAAGCGCCCCGCCUGGGGAGUACGGCCGCAAGGCUAAAACUCAAAUGAAUUGACGG